GAUGAACGCUGGCGGCGUGCCUAAUACAUGCAAGUCGAGCGAACAGACGAGGAGUUUGCUCCUCUGACGUUAGCGGCGGACGGGUGAGUAACACGUGGAUAACCUACCUAUAAGACUGGGAUAACUUCGGGAAACCGGAGCUAAUACCGGAAAAUAUAUUGAACCGCAUGGUUCAAUAGUGAAAGACGAUUUUGCUGUCACUUAUAGAUGGAUCCGCGCCGCAUUAGCUAGUUGGUAAGGUAACGGCUUACCAAGGCGACGAUGCGUAGCCGACCUGAGAGGGUGAUCGGCCACACUGGAACUGAGACACGGCCCAGACUCCUACGGGAGGCAGCAGUAGGGAAUCUUCCGCAAUGGGCGAAAGCCUGACGGAGCAACGCCGCUUGGUUGAUGAAGGUCUUCGGAUCUUAAAACUCUGUUAUUAGGGAAGAACAAAUGUGUAAGUAACUAUGCACGUCUUGACGGUACCUAAUCAGAAAGCCACGGCUAACUACGUG
This 497-nucleotide ribosomal RNA is filed under the name uncultured bacterium. RNAcentral describes it as "partial 16S ribosomal RNA". It matches the Rfam family "Bacterial small subunit ribosomal RNA", at positions 28 to 507 of the family's 1533-position model. The record is from RNAcentral.